This is a long non-coding RNA of Gossypium raimondii (Peruvian cotton), 2105 nucleotides long. RefSeq lists it as uncharacterized. The record is from RefSeq and is a predicted model, not a curated record. The transcript has 3 exons. Lineage: Eukaryota; Viridiplantae; Streptophyta; Magnoliopsida; Malvales; Malvaceae.
UUUUUUAACUUAUGGCGGUAAUCUGAGGUACCGAAAAAAGAAAAUUCAAGCGCCCAAAUUUCCAACUGUUUUUUUUCCCUAUUCAGUUCACCAUUUUGUUUUCUAGGGUUUUUGAAGCAAUCCUCGCCAUAGAUGGAUAGAUAGAGGGAUUGUGAAGGACCGUUUAACAAUCACCAACCGUUAAAUUCAACUCCUUUUGUUUCCCGAUAAUCACAAUCCUAACAUACCCCGCUGGCCACCACCGGCACCACUUCCGGCAACAGAGCAGCCAAUAAACGACGCGUUUUCGUCCAACGGUUCCAAAUCCGGUCGAAAGAGCGGGGUUUCACCAUUCCAUUCGAAGAGCUUCUCCAGUGGAAAAUAAACUGGAGGAAUUCACGGUAUUUGGGCUCAGAAACUGUUGCCAGGCAGCAAAAGCUGCAAAAUCAGUGCCAACAGGUUCAGACAUGUCUCACCCAACUGAAAGUUUAAGUCCAACAACCUUUGUUUACAUUGAUCUUGGACGGACUUUGUACAUUUUUUUAAACAUACAUUUAUUAUUUCAUUUUAUGCAUUGCAAUUUUCUUUUCUUCAGUUCAGAGACGUUGUAAAUGUAACUGAUGUACUGAGAUGGAUGUUUUAAUUGACUCAAAGAAUCUCUUUCAUGUGUUUUGGCAUCUGAUGGAACUUCAUGUCAUACUCUGUUUUUUAUUGACAUGUCUAGAUGAAGUUAUGAUUUGCAUAAAUUCAGUAUAUUGUGAUUCUCUAGGGACCGGACCAUUCACAAAUCAAGACAGAAACAAGUGCUGUUUGUUGAUCAACUUGUGGUUAACUUUAUCAGAUACCAAGAUCUUAAUUACUCUUUUUGAUUGGAUUUGCAUGUUGCAUAUGUUAUCGGUUGCCUAUUUUCCUUCCCCUUUCAUGCUAGUAAGAAGCAUAUAUAGAUCAGGCAUAUGUGCAAUUGUGAUGAUAGUAAGAAACAUAUGUUUAUCAGGCACAUGCAGGAACUUUAGAACACUCACUCUCCUCAACCUUCUCUCUUAAUUUGUAGUUUGAUUAGCUAUUAUUGAGCUCCUUUGUAAUGAAAUUUGGCUUCAAGAUGAUGUCUGUAUGCGUUGUUCAUUGUUUUUCAUUUAUUAGGCUCACUCAGGUGGAAGGAUUCUGCGUUCAUUUCUUCCCUGGUGAUUUCUUUUUCUGGGACAUCUUCUAGUUGUUAUUAGGCUACAUAAGUUUUGUUAAUAGUCACUAUUUAUUUUCAAUCUCCUUGCUUUCAUCCCUUGUUUCCUACUUUGAAGUGGUUAAAUGUUGGUAGGAUAACUUGCAGGGCCGGAACUGCUCAUGUAAUUACAAUCCUGUUAGUGAAAUACAUCUUAUCGUUUUUGUUACAUACUUGAAUUUGAAUGUUACAUCUCUUGCUUCAUGUUCUUUUAUUGCAGCUUUAAAAUGUUCAUUGUACUAAAUGUAUAUGGGAAUUUCCAGGUAUGCAAAGCAGUUUCUUGAUGUUUUCAGUUUUACAGCCUAAACCCAUCAUAGGUGAGUGUUUUUCAACAUGAGCAUCUUCUGGUAAACAUGUGAAAAUUCAAUUGGCUGACAGGAUAAGAUUCCUUCAUGACCCUUAGGUUCUUGUUACAUAGGAAUUACCUAAAGGGUUAUUUGUUAGACUGCACAUUGGGGCAACCUCGAGUCUUAGCUUAGCACAUUGGAGCAUUCAAAAAUGUAGGUUUCUUCAGAACCUGAUAUAUUAACUUCUUUGUUGCUUUUGUUGGUACGGCUAGUUUUCAUAUCUAGGGAUAAAAAUUGGUCAUUAUCUGAGGGGGACGGUGGUAGGCCCCAGGAAUCAUGUAAUGGCUUAUCUCACACACAGUCUCCGGGUUAUUCCUUAUUCUACAUGUAAGUAUAUUCUUAACAGUGACAAAUUCACAUGGCCAGCAAACAUAUAACCACAAAGGAACACUGUGGAUAGCGAUGUUUGAUAUCGAAAUCGAUAAGCUCCAUGAUAUUCAGAAUAAAAGAAUCAUGCCCCCAUACUGUAUGUAUGUUCAUCAUAUAAAUGGCUUUCAUAGUUUCAUUUCCCUGUAACACACAAUACACUGAAUCUCCACCCUUUUACCAUUCAAUUCAAUGAA